RNAcentral lists this ribosomal RNA (478 nucleotides) under Orgilus sp. BJS-2011. RNAcentral describes it as "eukaryotic LSU rRNA". It matches the Rfam family "Eukaryotic large subunit ribosomal RNA", at positions 707 to 1129 of the family's 3401-position model. The record is from RNAcentral. Lineage: Eukaryota; Metazoa; Arthropoda; Insecta; Hymenoptera; Braconidae.
CCUAAAGGCGCAAUGAAAGUAAAGGUUGGAUUUAUGUCAACUGAGGGAGGAUGAGUUAUAUUAUGAUAUAAUUCCGCACUCCCGGUGUGUCUCAUUCACAUUAUGCGAAGAGGCGCAGCCAGAGCGUACACGUUGGGACCCGAAAGAUGGUGAACUAUGCCUGGUUAGGAUGAAGUCAGGGGAAACCCUGAUGGAGGUCCGUAGCGGUUCUGACGUGCAAAUCGAUCGUAAAAACUGGGUAUAGGGGCGAAAGACUAAUCGAACCAUCUAGUAGCUGGUUCCCUCCGAAGUUUCCCUCAGGAUAGCUGGCAUUCAUAAGUUUAUAUAUAAACUCAGACGAGUCUCAUCUGGUAAAGCGAAUGAUUAGAGGCCUUGGGGUCGAAACGACCUCAACCUAUUCUCAAACUUUAAAUGGGUGAGAUCUCUGGCUUGCUUGAAUAUAUGAAGCCAUGAGAUUUCGGAUCAGAGUGCCAAGUGG